This 392-nucleotide long non-coding RNA is filed under the name Physcomitrium patens. RNAcentral describes it as "long non-coding RNA (PPAT_LNC005911)". The record is from RNAcentral. Lineage: Eukaryota; Viridiplantae; Streptophyta; Bryopsida; Funariales; Funariaceae.
CUGCGCAGCUAAGUCGAUCUGAACUUCAGGAGGAGCAAGAGCAGGAGAUUCCACGAAGUGCAAGUUCACGUCACCAGCCAACUUUCUGGCAAGGUACAGGUAUGGCUUCUCGAAGUUAUAGUUCGAUUUAGCGGAAAUCUCGUAGUAUUGGAGGUUCUUCUUCCUGUGGAACGUCACCUGCUUAGCCUUCACCUGCCUGUUCUUCACAUCCACCUUGUUUCCGCACAACACGAUGGGAAUGUUCUCACACACUCUGCACAGAUCUCUAUGCCAUGUGGGCACGUUCUUGUAGGUCAGCCUUGCAGUCACAUCGAACAUGAUAAUAGCACAUUGCCCAUGGAUGUAAUACCCAUCACGCAGACCUCCAAACUUCUCCUGUCCGGCGGUAUCCC